This 637-nucleotide ribosomal RNA is filed under the name Acinetobacter schindleri. RNAcentral's name for it is "bacterial SSU rRNA". It matches the Rfam family "Bacterial small subunit ribosomal RNA", at positions 410 to 1038 of the family's 1533-position model. Lineage: Bacteria; Pseudomonadati; Pseudomonadota; Gammaproteobacteria; Moraxellales; Moraxellaceae. The record is from RNAcentral.
GAAGGCCUUAUGGUUGUAAAGCACUUUAAGCGAGGAGGAGGCUACUUUAGUUAAUACCUAGAGAUAGUGGACGUUACUCGCAGAAUAAGCACCGGCUAACUCUGUGCCAGCAGCCGCGGUAAUACAGAGGGUGCGAGCGUUAAUCGGAUUUACUGGGCGUAAAGCGUGCGUAGGCGGCUUAUUAAGUCGGAUGUGAAAUCCCCGAGCUUAACUUGGGAAUUGCAUUCGAUACUGGUGAGCUAGAGUAUGGGAGAGGAUGGUAGAAUUCCAGGUGUAGCGGUGAAAUGCGUAGAGAUCUGGAGGAAUACCGAUGGCGAAGGCAGCCAUCUGGCCUAAUACUGACGCUGAGGUACGAAAGCAUGGGGAGCAAACAGGAUUAGAUACCCUGGUAGUCCAUGCCGUAAACGAUGUCUACUAGCCGUUGGGGCCUUUGAGGCUUUAGUGGCGCAGCUAACGCGAUAAGUAGACCGCCUGGGGAGUACGGUCGCAAGACUAAAACUCAAAUGAAUUGACGGGGGCCCGCACAAGCGGUGGAGCAUGUGGUUUAAUUCGAUGCAACGCGAAGAACCUUACCUGGCCUUGACAUACUAGAAACUUUCCAGAGAUGGAUUGGUGCCUUCGGGAAUCUAGAUACAGG